Molecule: long non-coding RNA, 219 nt
Filed under: Populus trichocarpa (black cottonwood)
Lineage: Eukaryota; Viridiplantae; Streptophyta; Magnoliopsida; Malpighiales; Salicaceae
Description: long non-coding RNA (PTRI_LNC000330)
Source: RNAcentral
AGCAUCUCAUGCUUACUUUCAUGCAAUUAAUUAAUUUAAUCAAAAAAUAAAAUUCAUUUUAAAAAAGCUAGAUUCAACAAUGGUAGAAACAAAAAUCUGAGUUAACCCAUGUCGCUUUCAAAACCACCGAAAAAUCCCAUAGAAAACGAAUAAAGAAAUAAUAAAAUAUUGGUGGAUGAAAUUAAAAAAAAAACUUAAAAAAAAAAAGAAAAAACCAAG